CAAGUUCUUUACGAAGAAGAAAUGGCGAACACUCUGGCCCCGAGUCAUGCGUAGUACGCCGCGAGGCUAUGGUGAAGCGUUGACAGAGGAAACGACAGGCCAGCCAUUGAGCCGCGAAAUAAGCAAGUUGGGGAUGCUGACGCUGUGUGUAAAAGCGGAAGACCACAAAGCAUGACGACAAUCGCAAGGCGUGCUUUGAUCCCUCGCGGUCGCAAACCC
This 219-nucleotide non-coding RNA is filed under the name Nitrosospira sp. Nsp5. The record is from RNAcentral. Lineage: Bacteria; Pseudomonadati; Pseudomonadota; Betaproteobacteria; Nitrosomonadales; Nitrosomonadaceae.